CCUGUGAGUAAUUAACACUUCAUGACUGAGAGCUGUCCUUCAUGACAACAGAACCCACAUCAACAAUGACUUUUCUCACCAUCUUCAUCUGGACACUUGCCCUCUACUUCAAGGACUCUAGAGGACAGAUCAUUGUGACUCAGACUCCUGCAGUGAAAGCUGUUCUCCCAGGACACUCAAUUUCUCUAAACUGUAAAGCCAGCAGUAAUGUGUAUGGUGAUUGUCACAAUGGUCAGUCAUGGGGCCAUCAGUGUCUAUCCUGGUACCAACAGAAACCAGGAGAAAACCCCAAACUCAUGAUGCUCCCAGGGAACACACUUCAGUCUGGGACUCCAUCUAGAUUCAGUGGCAGUGGAUCUGGGAGUGACUUCACUCUGACCAUCAGUAGAGUCCAGACUGAAGAUGCAGGAGAUUACUACUGUCAGAGUUACCACAGCAGUGGUAAAGUGUUCACACAGUGAUACAGAGACGUACAAAAACCUCCCUCAGUCAGACUGCAUAGUGGCUGUACUGAUAUAGCUGUGACCUACAGCAGGUGCUGAGGGGAGGAGAUGAUUCAGUACAAUGACACAGUGUGUAGUAGAGCUGAACAACAAUAGAGUCAAACUAGAGCUAUGUCUAGAAGACCUUAGAUCAUAACUGAUCACUAAAAGUUUCUACUGAACAUUAACUACAUGUUGUCUCUGUUGA
Molecule: long non-coding RNA, 690 nt
Organism: Oncorhynchus mykiss (rainbow trout)
Lineage: Eukaryota; Metazoa; Chordata; Actinopteri; Salmoniformes; Salmonidae
Source: RefSeq, a predicted model, not a curated record